GAGUUUCCUUGUUUGCUGCAUUUGUUGGCUGGAAGUAAUCUAAGUUCUGCAUCGUUGGAUACAAACCUGCAAGAAGCAGAUGAAUGAAAUCUGUUCUUAGACACAAUGAAUAGAACUUGUAUAUCUUUGUUCCCAACAGAUGCAUGAUUAAGCCAUUUAGUUUUUAGGUAUGUAGAUGAAGGGAAUAAAUUUAUAAAUCAUACAAAAUAACCUAAUUACAUGGCAGUGACUUUGAUGGCUCGAAAGUAUUCCCUUUGGGACAAUGGCUAGAGCUUAGAUGUUCCAGUGUUGCCAGUUUUAGUCUACUAUGAAUCAGUAUAGCUUUACUAUUGAUGAGGACCAUAUGCUGAUUAAAUAAUAUCAGUAAACUUAAUUUUGUGACAGUGGCUUUUUAGUAAAAGUUGAUACAUUGUUGACUGUGUUAUAGUCCUUCCAUGAAUAUGAAUUUGUAAAUACACAUUCUUGAACUUCUGUUAUUUUAAACUUAAGUUUCGUCAAUUAAAUGGAAAUUUGACUUUCAUUUUACUUGAGCAAGAAAACUGCUCAAUUCAGAACUAGGAAAAAAUAUAUUGUAAUUCGCUCUGCUAGAAGAAUGGCCACUCUUUUUCAGUUCAAUCGUAUUGAACUACCACCAUUUUUUCUUCUCUUACUGUUUUUCUAAGGGAAGAGGAGGGGUAAGUGGGGGUGGUUUUAUCAGGUAGUCUUGCUAGAAAACUGACCACUCUUCUAUUUAUCAAUCUGAUGAUUGAACUAACAAGUACCAUCAGUUUCUCUUCUAUUUUUGGUGGGGGUGGGGUAGAGUUGUGUUGGUUUAUUCCAUAUUACAAAACAUGUCAAGUGCUGAUUUCUAUUUAUUGGUUUACAUAUCAAAUUGUCCAGAGUGAGUUAAACAUAUUAUCUUCCCAUGAGAAGAUUGGACCACAUGCGGAUAUGCUUAUUUCAAGUUUCUGCAUGGAUAUGGAGCAUGUAAGUUGCCCAUUUGAGUUAUAAAAUGACACAAAAGCUUGUUUCCACUGAAAAGUCCAUAUUACCUGAAGUUGAACAUAAAUAUGAUAUAAUACAAGCGAAACAAUGACUGAUACCUUUCCCAAGAUAUGAGAUUAUAUGUCUAUCAUAGAAUUAUGACACCACCUGUCUUCAAGUUUAAUGGUGAAAGGCACAGCUUAUGUCAAGUGGA
RNAcentral lists this long non-coding RNA (1177 nucleotides) under Olea europaea subsp. europaea. Lineage: Eukaryota; Viridiplantae; Streptophyta; Magnoliopsida; Lamiales; Oleaceae. The record is from RNAcentral.